CCCUGCAGCAGGGGCUGGGGAGAGGGGAAUUGGCUGGCCCCACAUUUGAAGAUGGCACCUGAUGCUUGGGUCGGCAAAUGUCUGAAAGGCUUUGCAGCUUGCUGGGCAGCCCAGGUGGGAACUUACCUCUUGGUGAAAGCAUCAGGAAUCUCCCAAUCCCUCAGGGAUGGGUUCUCGCUAUGUUAACCAGGCUGGACUUGAACUCCUGGACUCAAGUGAUUCUUGCCAGAACUCCUGGCCUCCCAGAGUGCUGGGAUUACAGAUGAGUUUGCUGCAGAGUGCAGAGGAACUUGCUGCAGGUCAUAGAUCAGGGCUGGUCUUAGAGUUAUGUGUCCUUCCUUCAACUUGAUGAAAACAACUCUCCUGGCACUUCUCUGGAGCAAAGCCGGCGGUCCUCCUUGGAUACGGAACUGAGACACGAAGAGUUU
RNAcentral lists this long non-coding RNA (428 nucleotides) under Homo sapiens (human). Its description in RNAcentral is "HSALNT0027952". The record is from RNAcentral. Lineage: Eukaryota; Metazoa; Chordata; Mammalia; Primates; Hominidae.